UACGGAGGAUGCGAGCGUUAUCCGGAUUCAUUGGGUUUAAAGGGUUCGUAGGCGGGCUUUUAAGUCAGCGGUGAAAUACCAAGGCUCAACCUUGGGGCUGCCGAUGAUACUGAGGGCCUUGAGAGACAUCGACGCCGGCGGAAUGUGGCAAGUAGCGGUGAAAUGCAUAGAUAUGCCACAGAACACCGAUAGCGAAGGCAGCUGGCGAGAUGUAGUCUGACGCUGAGGAACGAAAGCGUGGGGAUCAAACAGG
This 253-nucleotide ribosomal RNA is filed under the name uncultured bacterium. RNAcentral describes it as "partial 16S ribosomal RNA". It matches the Rfam family "Bacterial small subunit ribosomal RNA", at positions 524 to 776 of the family's 1533-position model. The record is from RNAcentral.